RNAcentral lists this ribosomal RNA (483 nucleotides) under uncultured bacterium. Its description in RNAcentral is "bacterial SSU rRNA". It matches the Rfam family "Bacterial small subunit ribosomal RNA", at positions 28 to 508 of the family's 1533-position model. The record is from RNAcentral.
GAUGAACGCUGGCGGCGUGCCUAACACAUGCAAGUCGAACGGAACUUCUUUGACAGAAUUCUUCGGAAGGAAGUUGAUUAAGUUUAGUGGCGGACGGGUGAGUAACGCGUGAGUAACCUGCCUUUGAGAGGGGAAUAACUUCCCGAAAGGGAUGCUAAUACCGCAUGAUGCAUAGAAGUCGCAUGGCUUUAUGCCAAAGAUUUAUCGCUCAAAGAUGGACUCGCGUCCGAUUAGCCAGUUGGCGGGGUAGCGGCCCACCAAAGCGACGAUCGGUAGCCGGACUGAGAGGUUGAACGGCCACAUUGGGACUGAGACACGGCCCAGACUCCUACGGGAGGCAGCAGUGGGGGAUAUUGCGCAAUGGGGGAAACCCUGACGCAGCAACGCCGCGUGAAAGGAUGAAGGUUUUCGGAUUGUAAAACUUCUUUAUUUAGGACGAAGAAUGACGGUACUAAAUGAAUAAGACUCCGGCUAACUACGUAG